AGAGUUUGAUCCUGGCUCAGGAUGAACGCUAGCGGCAGGCCUAAUACAUGCAAGUCGAACGGUGUGGCAACACAUAGUGGCGCACGGGUGCGUAACACGUAGGUAACCUACCUUGAACCGGGGCAUAACGAUGGGAAACCAUCGCUAAUACCGCAUAAGAUCAUGAAGAGGCAUCUCUUAGUGAUUAAAGAUUUAUUGGUUCAAGAUGGGCCUGCGGCUGAUUAGCUAGUUGGUGGUGUAACGGACCACCAAGGCUGUGAUCAGUAGGGGUUCUGAGAGGAAGAUCCCCCACACUGGCACUGAGAUACGGGCCAGACUCCUACGGGAGGCAGCAGUAGGGAAUAUUGGGCAAUGGGGGCAACCCUGACGCAGCGACGCCGCGUGAAGGAUGACGGUCUUCGGAUCGUAAACUUCUUUUGACAGGGAAGAAACAAAUGACGGUACCUGUCGAAUAAGCCCCGGCUAACUACGUGCCAGCAGCCGCGGUAAUACGUAGGACACAAGCGUUAUCCGGAGUUACUGGGCGUAAAGGGCGUGUAGGCGGAUGCAUAAGUCUAUUCUGAAAGCUCCUGGCUAAACUGGGAGAGGCGAAUGGAGACUGUGCGUCUAGAGUGAGGAAGAGGAAAGUGGAAUUCCGCGUGUAGUGGUGAAAUGCGUAGAGAUGCGGAGGAACACCAGUGGCGAAAGCGACUUUCUGGUUCUCAACUGACGCUGAGGCGCGAAAGCAUGGGGAGCGAACGGGAUUAGAUACCCCUGUAGUCC
This 762-nucleotide ribosomal RNA is filed under the name uncultured Anaerolineaceae bacterium. RNAcentral describes it as "bacterial SSU rRNA". It matches the Rfam family "Bacterial small subunit ribosomal RNA", at positions 8 to 796 of the family's 1533-position model. The record is from RNAcentral. Lineage: Bacteria; Bacillati; Chloroflexota; Anaerolineae; Anaerolineales; Anaerolineaceae.